Daphnia magna is the source of this 812-nucleotide long non-coding RNA. RefSeq lists it as uncharacterized. The record is from RefSeq and is a predicted model, not a curated record. The transcript has 2 exons. NCBI's taxonomy places the organism in Eukaryota, Metazoa, Arthropoda, Branchiopoda, Diplostraca, Daphniidae.
UUAUUGUUAUUAGAAUGACGGUGUAGUUUUGGAAAUCUUAGAAGCUACCAGUUUUUUCGUUUCUGAUGAUAAUUUAUGUAUCAUUUAACUACCUUGGUGGUCUUUAUGUGCUUCCCGUUGUAUGCUUAACAUGAAAAUUGUUUGGUAAAAUUAGUCCGGUUGUUAAUCAUUCGGCCAUUGAACCCGGUGGAUUUCGUCACAGUGCAAACAAUGUUCGCCAUCAUACAACCAGUUUGUCCUGUGCAUUCCUCGAGAAAGUGCCUCUAGUCAGAAAAAAAUCGGUCACAAAAUAGACAAAUACUUGAAUCCCUUGAACAUGUAAGAGCUUUUCAAAAAUGGAAACGACCGAGAAAAGUCCUGUUUUAAUGCCAACGAGUCAAGUUGCUGCGUAUAAAAUCUAUCGGACGUAGUAGGGCGUGGCUAUUGAAACAGUCUUUGUUUAAUUGCCCGGGAAGGUCUAUAGAAAAGGCUAGACUAGCAGUAAUCAUCGAUAACAUUGUGCUUAGUGCAGACGUUUGUUUGAUAUUCUAAAAAAGAGUUUAAAAGAUGAAAACAUUCUCUUCCCUUGUUCUUGUGACAGUUUCCAUUGGAUUUCGACUUUUGUCUCCACAUGGGCGUAAUCAACAACGUCAUCAGUCUGGCAACUAUCCAUCUGCAUAUUACAGGGCAGGACGAGACCAGUUUGAGCAAGAUUUAGCGGCUUCAAAACAAGAUAUUAUGGAAUAAUUCACCAACGUUUUGAAUUUACUAAAAAUUGUAGUGUUUGCUUUGUAUCUGAAUUGCACAGGCUUCUUAUGUUGCUUCUUAACGGA